Molecule: ribosomal RNA, 97 nt
Filed under: Caerostris darwini
Lineage: Eukaryota; Metazoa; Arthropoda; Arachnida; Araneae; Araneidae
Source: RNAcentral
ACGGCCGUACCAUGCUGAAUAUACCGGUUCUCGUUAGAUCAUCGAAGUUAAGCAUCAUUGGGCGCGGUCAGUAUUUGGGUGGGUGACCACCUGGGAA